RNAcentral lists this ribosomal RNA (25 nucleotides) under Prochlorococcus marinus str. MIT 0911. RNAcentral's name for it is "partial 16S ribosomal RNA". RNAcentral also lists the same sequence under 7 other names. Lineage: Bacteria; Bacillati; Cyanobacteriota; Cyanophyceae; Synechococcales; Prochlorococcaceae. The record is from RNAcentral.
GACGCCGAAGGUGGGGCUGAUGACU